UACGAAGGGGGCUAGCGUUGCUCGGAAUCACUGGGCGUAAAGCGCACGUAGGCGGACCUUUAAGUCAGGGGUGAAAUCCCAAGGCUCAACCUUGGAACUGCCUUUGAUACUGGGGAUCUCGAGUCCGGAAGAGGUUGGUGGAACUGCGAGUGUAGAGGUGAAAUUCGUAGAUAUUCGCAAGAACACCAGUGGCGAAGGCGGCCAACUGGUCCGGUACUGACGCUGAGGUGCGAAAGCGUGGGGAGCAAACAGG
This 253-nucleotide ribosomal RNA is filed under the name uncultured bacterium. RNAcentral's name for it is "partial 16S ribosomal RNA". It matches the Rfam family "Bacterial small subunit ribosomal RNA", at positions 524 to 776 of the family's 1533-position model. The record is from RNAcentral.